RNAcentral lists this ribosomal RNA (429 nucleotides) under Acidobacteriota bacterium. RNAcentral's name for it is "Acidobacteria bacterium partial 16S ribosomal RNA". It matches the Rfam family "Bacterial small subunit ribosomal RNA", at positions 355 to 776 of the family's 1533-position model. Lineage: Bacteria; Pseudomonadati; Acidobacteriota. The record is from RNAcentral.
UGGGGAAUUUUGGACAAUGGGGGAGACCCUGAUCCAGCCAUCCCGCGUGUGCGAUGAAGGCCUUCGGGUUGUAAAGCACUUUUGGCAGGAAAGAAACGUCAUGGGUUAAUACCCCGUGAAACUGACGGUACCUGCAGAAUAAGCACCGGCUAACUACGUGCCAGCAGCCGCGGUAAUACGUAGGGUGCAAGCGUUAAUCGGAAUUACUGGGCGUAAAGCGUGCGCAGGCGGUUCGGAAAGAAAGAUGUGAAAUCCCAGAGCUCAACUUUGGAACUGCAUUUUAAACUACCGGGCUAGAGUGUGUCAGAGGGAGGUGGAAUUCCGCGUGUAGCAGUGAAAUGCGUAGAUAUGCGGAGGAACACCGAUGGCGAAGGCAGCCUCCUGGGAUAACACUGACGCUCAUGCACGAAAGCGUGGGGAGCAAACAGG